AUUGAACGCUGGCGGCAGGCCUAACACAUGCAAGUCGAGCGGAUGAAGGGAGCUUGCUCCUGGAUUCAGCGGCGGACGGGUGAGUAAUGCCUAGGGAUCUGCCUGGUAGUGGGGGAUAACGUCCGGAAACGGGCGCUAAUACCGCAUACGUCCUGAGGGAGAAAGUGGGGGAUCUUCGGACCUCACGCUAUCAGAUGAGCCUAGGUCGGAUUAGCUAGUUGGUGGGGUAAAGGCCUACCAAGGCGACGAUCCGUAACUGGUCUGAGAGGAUGAUCAGUCACACUGGAACUGAGACACGGUCCAGACUCCUACGGGAGGCAGCAGUGGGGAAUAUUGGACAAUGGGCGAAAGCCUGAUCCAGCCAUGCCGCGUGUGAAGAAGGUCUUCGGAUUGUAAAGCACUUUAAGUUGGGAGGAAGGGCAGUAAGUUAAUACCUUGCUGUUUUGACGUUACCAACAGAAUAAGCACCGGCUAACUUCGUG
This 482-nucleotide ribosomal RNA is filed under the name uncultured bacterium. RNAcentral describes it as "partial 16S ribosomal RNA". It matches the Rfam family "Bacterial small subunit ribosomal RNA", at positions 30 to 507 of the family's 1533-position model. The record is from RNAcentral.